Long non-coding RNA from Zophobas morio, 1081 nucleotides. RefSeq lists it as uncharacterized. NCBI's taxonomy places the organism in Eukaryota, Metazoa, Arthropoda, Insecta, Coleoptera, Tenebrionidae. The record is from RefSeq and is a predicted model, not a curated record. The transcript has 2 exons.
AAAAUUUGAUCUCAGUAAAGUCCAAUUCAUAACAUCAAGAUCUUCUGUAUGUUUUGUCCAUUCACUGAGGUUUGCACUCGGAAUACGAACACAACUACAGUAAAUUUUCUAGAUUUAAAUUAAUUUACCAUAGAACUAACGUAAACCGUAAAAAAGUAAAGCAACUUAAUUGAUCAAUCAAAAAGGAGGAUAUUUUUUAUUUGAGGAGGACACGAGGAGGACAUUUACGCUAGGAGGACAGCAUACAUGAAAGGAGGACUGUCCUCCUCAAAGGAGUACGUCUGGUCACCUUACAACUGAAAGCCUUGAUCUUCAUCCCUACAAUAGGUGAAAACUGCUAUGUCCAAACAUUACCUUCAGCUUUGCAGUUUCUAGAUAUCUGAAACAUGCCAGAUCUGCAUAACAGGAAUGUCAAAGAGGUUCUACCCAAAACACGCCCACAUGGCCAUCCUAAUAUCAAGAUUUUUCAAAAUUUCUAUAACAAAAAAGAUGAAAAAACCAAUAAAAUUUCAGGAGCAUAGUGUUAAGAGUUCUGUAGAUGAUUAUGAGAUCUCUUGAAACAACAGAAUGUUUAAUAAAGAUUUUUAACUUUCCUAAUAGUAAAAUUACAAUUAUUACUAAACAGUAAGUUGAAGUAAGUUUUAAAUUAAGAAAAUGCAACUAACACCGAAAGAAAAAUGAAAGUUACUGAAAAUAAAAAACUUUAUUGCAGUACCUACAUACACUUUCUACAUCUAAUUUUGUUUAUUGAUCACAUUCAUUUACUUGAAAAAGUAUCAGGCCUAUGAAUCGUCGUCUGGAAACAGCUAACCACACACCAACCUUCAUUGCGUGUGAUGGUGUUUCUUCAAAAGCCCUAACAGAUGAAACCAGGCUUCAUCAGAAAAGAACGACAAAUCGAGAAUCCCGUUAUCGUCCAUAUCAGCUUGAAACCAACUACAAUACCCAACGCGGCAAGGAAAAUCAGCUGGUUGCAGCUCCUGAACCAACAAAAUCUUGUAUGGAUGCAUAUGUAACUUCUCUUUUACGAUUUUCUGACAUGGGCUGUAUGGUACUCCGGACAGUAAAGAUUUUUGACAAA